AUUGAACGCUGGCGGCAUGCCUUAUACAUGCAAGUCGAACGGCAGCACGGGUGCUUGCACCUGGUGGCGAGUGGCGAACGGGUGAGUAAUACAUCGGAACAUGUCCUGUAGUGGGGGAUAGCCCGGCGAAAGCCGGAUUAAUACCGCAUACGAUCUACGGAUGAAAGCGGGGGACCUUCGGGCCUCGCGCUAUAGGGUUGGCCGAUGGCUGAUUAGCUAGUUGGUGGGGUAAAGGCCUACCAAGGCGACGAUCAGUAGCUGGUCUGAGAGGACGACCAGCCACACGGGGAUUGAGACACGGCCCAGACUCAUACGGGAGGCAGCAGUGGGGAUUUUUGCACAAUGGGCGAAAGCCUGACGGAGAAAUGCGGCGUGAGUGAGGAAGGCCUUCGGAUAGAAAAGCUUUUUUAUCGGGAAAGAACCUUUGGGCAAGAAACUGUGCGGGGGUUGACGGUACCGAAAGAGAAAGCCACGGCUAACUACGUG
This 486-nucleotide ribosomal RNA is filed under the name uncultured bacterium. RNAcentral describes it as "partial 16S ribosomal RNA". It matches the Rfam family "Bacterial small subunit ribosomal RNA", at positions 29 to 507 of the family's 1533-position model. The record is from RNAcentral.